Molecule: transfer RNA, 85 nt
Filed under: Nevskia sp.
Lineage: Bacteria; Pseudomonadati; Pseudomonadota; Gammaproteobacteria; Nevskiales; Nevskiaceae
Also listed under: 2 other names
Description: tRNA-Leu
Rfam family: tRNA
About the family: Transfer RNA (tRNA) molecules are approximately 80 nucleotides in length. Their secondary structure includes four short double-helical elements and three loops (D, anti-codon, and T loops).
Source: RNAcentral
GCCGACGUGGCGGAAUUGGUAGACGCACUACCUUGAGGUGGUAGCGGGGAAACCCGUGGGGGUUCGAGUCCCUCCGUCGGCACCA